Molecule: microRNA precursor, 46 nt
Filed under: Marmota monax (woodchuck)
Lineage: Eukaryota; Metazoa; Chordata; Mammalia; Rodentia; Sciuridae
Source: RNAcentral
UUUAAUGCAAGUAUAUCCCAUGCAAGAUUUGGGACAUACUUACACU